Molecule: ribosomal RNA, 309 nt
Filed under: Klebsiella pneumoniae
Lineage: Bacteria; Pseudomonadati; Pseudomonadota; Gammaproteobacteria; Enterobacterales; Enterobacteriaceae
Description: bacterial SSU rRNA
Rfam family: Bacterial small subunit ribosomal RNA
Source: RNAcentral
AGGAAGGCGAUAAGGUUAAUAACCUUGUCGAUUGACGUUACCCGCAGAAGAAGCACCGGCUAACUCCGUGCCAGCAGCCGCGGUAAUACGGAGGGUGCAAGCGUUAAUCGGAAUUACUGGGCGUAAAGCGCACGCAGGCGGUCUGUCAAGUCGGAUGUGAAAUCCCCGGGCUCAACCUGGGAACUGCAUUCGAAACUGGCAGGCUAGAGUCUUGUAGAGGGGGGUAGAAUUCCAGGUGUAGCGGUGAAAUGCGUAGAGAUCUGGAGGAAUACCGGUGGCGAAGGCGGCCCCCUGGACAAAGACUGACGC